CAGGAUGCCCAGUGAAGUUUGAAUUUCAGACAAACAAUGAAUACUUUUUUAGUAUAAAUGUUCCAUGCAAUAUUUGGGGCAUACUUAUACUAAAAUUUUCCCUUUGUUUAUCUGAGUUUAAAUUUAACCGGGCAUCCUGU
RNAcentral lists this microRNA precursor (140 nucleotides) under Myotis lucifugus (little brown bat). Its description in RNAcentral is "miRNA (ENSMLUG00000020513.1)". Lineage: Eukaryota; Metazoa; Chordata; Mammalia; Chiroptera; Vespertilionidae. The record is from RNAcentral.